AUGCAGAAAGCGUAUUUCAGUGGUUCAAAAUCUCCUUCACAAAAUUUUGUUAACGUUCUCCUUCUCAAAUUUUUCUGUACCUUCUUCAUCUUCUUUCCUUUCUCCAUGAAUAUGAAUCAUUCAUCUUCCCCAAAGAACCUCUGUCAAUCUGAAAGUGUUGGAUCAUGUGUAUACAGUAACUCACGGAUUGCACCACUUUGUCGUUGCGGAGACAACGCUGUUCUUCGUAGGGCAACCACUGAGAAGAAUUAUGGAAAGAAAUUUUGGGGUUGUCACAAUUACAAGGCUCCUUGCAAAGAGGGUGUGGCUUCUUCCAUUGGUGUCACGAGGAAUUGGCAGAGGAAUUGGCAGAAGUCAUAA
Vicia faba (fava bean) is the source of this 360-nucleotide non-coding RNA. The record is from the annotation of a GenBank genome assembly. Lineage: Eukaryota; Viridiplantae; Streptophyta; Magnoliopsida; Fabales; Fabaceae.